This is a non-coding RNA of Schizosaccharomyces pombe (fission yeast), 3627 nucleotides long. The record is from the annotation of a GenBank genome assembly. NCBI's taxonomy places the organism in Eukaryota, Fungi, Ascomycota, Schizosaccharomycetes, Schizosaccharomycetales, Schizosaccharomycetaceae.
GACACUUUGGUAUUUUAAAAAGAUGUAGCUUUCUACGAGAAAAAUAUAUCGAAUGUUUAAGGGAGUACUGUUACAGAAACAGUUCACGUUGGAUUGAAUUGUUCGGUAUUUCCUUCUUUUGAGCCUGUGAAUGUCACCCUGGUCAAAAAAUAAUGUUAUGAAGUGUACUGCAACUGACGGCGUCUUUACUUCCAUUCAACAUCUUGCCGUAAACAAAGACUAACUUGUCUACAGUCAGGAUUUGGACUUUACGGUUUAGAAAAUACAGUUAGCAGAUGAUUAUUGAAUACAGAAAAAAUCACAACAAAUGUAGCUGUUUGUUUUUUAAUAAAGACAUUUAUUUCAAAUGUACUUAUGUAUCCUAAAACAUUACUUGAAAACAUUAAGCUUUUCCAACGUCCUCUGAAAAAUAGGUGAAUUCCACCUUAAAAUCUCUAUCCACGACAAAAACUAUUAUCUCUUUUUCUUUAAGUUAAAAAACUAAGAGGUUGACAAAGUGCAACUGUCAACCAUAAGUUUUUCAUCUAAAAGAUACAUGUAUUCAUAUACAAAUAUUAUAUAUAUAUACAUAUAUAUGUGAGAAAAAUAACCUAAUUGGAGAUCCAUGUUUAUGAUGAUGCAGAGAAUAAUUGACAAAAGUUUCAGUUUCUGCAUUAUUGGAAUGGAAUAACCAUGUUUGGUGAUAAGAAGAUAAAAAGUAACGGAGAGGACUUCAAAGAACUAGGAAUUACUAUUUUAUGAAAUUAAUAUAUUCCUCGACUUCAUGUUUACUUCCAAGCCAAAUACUGCUUUUUCCGUGUAAUGUUUUGGGUACCAAAUCCAGAAUGCGAUCUCCUUUGUCGUUUACCGCAAUACCUCCUGCUUGUUCAACAAGGAAGGCCAUGGGGAAACAUUCGUAAAGAAGUCUCAACUUUCCGUUAUUUCCUUUUGAGCAUGGAUAAGCAAACAACCCACCAUAAAGAAUGGUACGGUGCAUAUCGGCGACCAUAGAACCAAUGUAUCGAGCAGAGUAUGGUUUUUUGUCUGGUGUGCUUUCUUUGAGAUGAGCAAUAAAACGAGCGAUUUUUUCAUCCCAAAAUGCAGUGUAACCCUCAUUAAUGGAAUAAAUACUAUGUUGCAAAGGCAUUUUCAUGUUUCGAUGGGUCAAGAUGAAUUCGCCAAUAUCAGUGUCCAAGGUGAAGCCAUUGACACGAUGACCUGUGGUAAGCAAUAAAUGAGCCGAAGCACCAUACAUAGUAUAGCCAGCAGCAACCAUUUCUUUACCAGGCCUUAAGACAUCGCUAAUAUCGCCUUGACUGCCGGGUCGCAGUUUAUAGAUACCAAAUAUGGUACCUACACUAACACCGGCGUCAAUGUUGGAAGAGCCAUCGAUGGGAUCGCAAGUGACGGCAUAGGAACCGUUGCUAUCAACUACGAUAAGAUCCUCCUCUUCUUCACUAACGAUGAGUUUGCAGCAUCCGUUCGACUUCAUCGCAGUAAUGAAGAUAUCAUUGCAAAUUUUAUCUAGCUUCUUUUGUUCAUCGCCAGUGGAAUUGACGAUUCCCGAUAAACCAAUGAGAUUUACCAACUCUGCUUUACGAAUGGUGUUGGCGAUGAAUUUGAAGCUGAAUUGUAAACUGUUUAGCAGUAAUGACAAUUCCCCACUAGCCUCUUGAAUAAUGCAAGGUUUUCCUUCUUCAUUUUUAUGCUUCUGAUUGUAUCGGCGCUGUUCCUGCAAAAUAAAGGAGGAAAGUGUGACAAUGUCAGUGUCGAUUUCGUCGAGAUCUUUUUUCAUGAUGGAGUAAACGAAACCUGAAUCAACAAGAAACGGGGAAUGAAGUUGAAUAAGCUGGCCAGGUGAAUCCUAGCUGAAGUAAGUUUUUAAGAAAGAGGAGCAAAUCGGUUCUAAGUAGAACUGAGUUGAGCUGAGUUAAGUUGGGCUAGAAACCGAGUGGUGAGAUGAGAUGAUAUAAUAAGAGACGAGAGAGACGAAGAUGAAAAAAUUAAUAAUGAGUUGUGUUGUCUCUCUCCAGUGUAAACAAAAAAAAUCCUAACAAACGUUUCACCUUGACUGCUGCCCGCCACUAUUUAUAUAUUUACAAAAAUCAACGAGCCAUGAUGGAAGCGCCAUGUAUUUCCCAUGUAAACAACGUUUUGCCAGCAUAUGAAGUAUUCGCUAUGUUUAGUUCCGCGAAUCAUAAGCCUUUUAACAAUCUAAUCUUUAGUUGAAUGGACAACUAUGGCAAAUCCCUAUUUCAUACGCCCACCUGAGUGAUCCGCUUAAUUAAAAAUGCAUACACGAUAAACCUAAUCUUCAAAAAACGAGGGGCUUGCAAUGAAAACUACAGGGCAAUGCUGUUUCAGCCUGCUAAACAAAUGACAUACUGCAAUUCAACGAAGCCGGCUUACCAAACGAUUGCUAGAGCGGACUCAUUCCACCCUAUUCAUCUUUCCUAUAAUACUGCAAAAACGUAAAUACGGGAUGGGAAGGUUAGAGCUUGUAUCGUAUCGAGGUUUACGUGACUGAGAAAAUGGCAUGGCAUGGCAUGGCACUCCCUUAAUACAUUCGUAAAGGAUUGAGAGGCGAGCAUGACCGCUGCUUUCAUCACCGACCUCAAUUGCAUACCCACAGCAAUUACAUAAGAUCGACCCCAAUUGCCUAUGAUUUGAUGUCUAGCAAUUGUGUAUGAUUGAUCGCCAUUGUGUAGCUGUAGGUGUUAUUAUGUCUCUUUAAACUUGAACUUGUUUUCUCGUGCUGCUUUGGUAUAGUGUUGUACGUUUUAGAGCACACGAAUACAAGUUCAAGUUUAAAGUGGGCUUUAUGUGUCUUCUUACCUGUGUUAACUCAGAAUCAACAUAACAUGGCUUAUACAGCUAAAUGGCGCAGUGUAGUGUGCUGGAAUGCAGCAACGAAAAUCAGAAAUUGUGAAAUUCGAUGAUGAGUACUAAUGCUUUGUGACGUAGAUGAUUGGGAAGUGCUAAAGGUGGGUGGGUGGAUGGAGUAGUUAGUAGGAGGAGAAAUGAACCUUAAGAUAUAGAAAGAAGUGGAGAAAAUAAAUUCGUUCUAUAAUGACUGGUCAUCCAGGUAAUUAAAGAGAGGGAGAAAUUUUUGAGGUUGAUUGUUUUCAUCCCGCCCUUCCUAUUAGCAAUAAGGAAAUUUGGUGUUGUUUAUUUAACGAGAUUUUUCGUGGGUUGAUGGUAUGUGGCUUCAGAAUGGGAUAAUAACCUUGCAUUGAAAGAGCAGGAUAUAAAGCAUGCUUCAAAAUAUGUGUGCUAUUAGCUAUAUUUUAAAAGACGUGUAUUUUACCACAAAUUUAUUCUUCACAUGUAAUUUUCAUACAUUCACUUUUAUUCUUAUAUAAACUAAUGUCCCGUGGAAUUUUCACUAAGCUACUACUAUAUUUAUUCAUAGAACGAGAAACCACCCUUUGUGGACAUUUAGACUAUUAUUCUAACUUGAUUCACGUGCCGUGUUGGUAAAAGCAUAAGUUCAAUUAAAAGAGCUUUUAUCUCUAAAAUAGAAGCAACAAAUGCGAUGCGAGUAGGAAUGAAGUCAAUUCUUAAAGGUAAAGCUUCUACCAAGAUAAACUUACAUAUGAGUUAAUAAAUAUUAUGGUUAGGAUACUCAAAUUAUAAGAUAGCUUUUUG